GGAGCCAGAAAGUGGCGAACGGGUGAGUAACACGUAAGUUACCUGUCUUUAAGCGGGGAAUAGCCCCGGGAAACCGGGGGUAAUACCGCAUGUGGUAAUGGAAUUAUAUCUGUUACUAAAGCCGUAAGGCGCUUGAUGAGGGGCUUGCGUCCUAUCAGGUAGUUGGUGGGGUAACGGCCCACCAAGCCAACGACGGGUAGCUGGUCUGAGAGGACGACCAGCCACACUGGGACUGAGACACGGCCCAGACUCCUACGGGAGGCAGCAGCAGGGAAUAUUGGGCAAUGGGCGAAAGCCUGACCCAGCGACACCGUGUGAGGGAUGAAGGCCUUCGGGUUGUAAACCUCUUUUCCCGGGGAAGAGAAAAAGGACAGUACUCGGGGAAUAAGUCUCGGCUAACUACGUGCCAGCAGCAGCGGUAAUACGUAGGAGGCAAGCGUUAUCCGGAAUUAUUGGGCGUAAAGAGGAUGUAGGCGGCACAACAAGUCGGAUGUGAAAUCUCCCGGCUUAACUGGGAGGGGUCAUCCGAAACUGUUGAGCUUGAGGGCAGCAGAGGAAAGCGGAAUUCCCGGUGUAGUGGUGAAAUGCGUAGAUAUCGGGAGGAACACCAGUGGCGAAAGCGGCUUUCUGGACUGUACCUGACGCUGAGAUCCGAAAGCGUGGGGAGCAAACAGGAUUAGAUACCCUGGUAGUCCACGCUGUAAACUAUGGAUACUGGGUAUGGGGAGUAUCGACCCUCUCCGUGCCGAAGUAAACGCGUUAAGUAUCCCGCCUGGGGAGUACGGUCGCAAGACUAAAACUCAAAGGAAUUGACGGGGGCCUGCACAAGCAGCGGAGCGUGUGGUUUAAUUCGAUUCAACACGAAGAACCUUACCAGGGUUUGACAUACUGGAAGUAGGAACCCGAAAGGGAGACGACCUGUUAAGUCAGGAGCCAGAACAGGUGCUGCAUGGCUGUCGUCAGCUCGUGCCGUGAGGUGUUGGGUUAAGUCCUCUAACGAGCGCAACCCUUGUUGCUAGUUAAUAUCUCUAGCGAGACUGCCCUGCAAAACGGGGAGGAAGGUGGGGAUGACGUCAAGUCAGCACGGCCCUUAUACCCUGGGCGACACACACGCUACAAUGGACAGUACAGUAGGUGGCAAUGGGGUGACCCGGAGCUAAUCCUAAAAACUGUCCUCAGUCCGGAUUGUAGGCUGCAACUCGCCUACAUGAAGCCGGAGUUGCUAGUAACCGCGUAUCAGCAUGGCGCGGUGAAUACGUUCCCAGGCCUUGUACACACCGCCCGUCACGUCAUGAAAGUCGGCAACACCUGAAGUCGAUGGGCUAACCCUUUUAGGGAGGCAGUCGCCGAGGGUGGGGUUGAUAAUUGGGACGAAGUCGUAACAAGGUA
Molecule: ribosomal RNA, 1389 nt
Filed under: metagenome
Description: bacterial SSU rRNA
Rfam family: Bacterial small subunit ribosomal RNA
Source: RNAcentral